GACGUAGGGGGCGAGCGUUGUCCGGAUUCAUUGGGCGUAAAGCGCGCGUAGGCGGCCCGGUAAGUCGGAUGUGAAAUCUCACGGCUCAACCGUGGAACUGCAUUCGAUACUGUCGGGCUAGAGGCAGGUAGGGGAGAUCGGAAUUCCCGAUGUAGCGGUGAAAUGCGCAGAUAUCGGGAGGAACACCGGUGGCGAAGGCGGAUCUCUGGGCCAUUACUGACGCUGAGGAGCGAAAGCGUGGGGAGCGAACAGG
RNAcentral lists this ribosomal RNA (253 nucleotides) under uncultured bacterium. RNAcentral describes it as "partial 16S ribosomal RNA". It matches the Rfam family "Bacterial small subunit ribosomal RNA", at positions 524 to 776 of the family's 1533-position model. The record is from RNAcentral.